RNAcentral lists this small RNA (127 nucleotides) under Yoonia ponticola. RNAcentral describes it as "ar14". Lineage: Bacteria; Pseudomonadati; Pseudomonadota; Alphaproteobacteria; Rhodobacterales; Paracoccaceae. The record is from RNAcentral.
AGAAUUCGGAUCAUUUAACUCCUCCCAGAAUGAAUGAUCCGAUCGACCUGGUCAUCUUCCUCCCAGAAACGACCAGGUUAUCAGAAGGACCGGCGACAUCCACCUCCUCCCGGGUGUCGCCGGACAC